UAACUAGAUCUCACUUCACAGGGACAGGGUGGGAAGCUAAUUAAUUCGCUCCUGUGUUGGGAUAAUUAAAAGUAAGAAAUACAAAAUGGAGUCUGUGACAUGUGACUUCAGGAUUCAAUCCUUGUUUACCUCAGGGGCACUGACUCAGAGCUAGCCCCAACUGGUUAGAACUAGGGUGACCAGAUAGCAAAUGUGAAAAAUCGGGACAGGAGGUGGGGGGUAAUAGGCGUCUAUAUACGAAAAAGCCCUGAAUAUCGGGACUGUCCCUAUAAAAUCGGGACAUCUGGUCACCCUAGUUAGAACUGGAUUUUCCAACCUUUGGGCUCCGGACAUUCCACCUGUUUUCCCGCCCAAAUCCCUGAAGGUUCUAUUACCUCAGAUUUACCUCAGGCUUGUUUGGCAUUGCCAUUUGGAACAGUCCACUUUUUUCCCACCUCGACAUCUAUAAAGGACUGACUCCUGUACGAAUGAGGCUGCUGUCCAUCUGAGCAGCAGCCUGUGCAUGGUACGGGUCUCAUCGUGGUUCCAACCAUAUCGACGAGAGUGACACCUAUCCCGAAGACACCGGAGAAGACCUUCAACACCUACCGUAUCCUGCUGUUCCAUCUCCAGAGGGCUUCUCUUCCACAGAGAUCGCCAUUCAUCCGUUGGACUCCUCAGAGUUCCUCCUUGACGGCUUCUCACUAGCCCGAUAGUAGAGGUCCUGAGCAUCGCCAUCGCACACAACCUAGCACCUAGACUGAGAAAUGACUUGCUUGAAGAUUCCCCUAUGUACCAGUUAACAGCAGAUUAUCAGACAUAUUUAGGCUAGCACCAAUCGUAUCAGGUACAGAGAGAGCAUGAAACCAAAUCAAAAACCCGUGGAAGCGUGCAAUCGUCUGAUACCUGGAUACACAGGCUAUGUCCCCCAAAGAUUCUAUAGAAUUGGCACUACUUAUGGAGAUGAUUCAAUGGCAUGUAUGACCUUAUUCCACAAUGCUACUCAAAGAAGCAGAGAUGCACAGAAUGGGCUGAGAUACAUAGCAGCCACUACUCCCAAACUUCCAUCUAUUUGCUCCAAUGAAGAUGUUUUACAAGCACUUUAUGACUAUAAUUCUAAACACCAUCCUUAUAUGCUAGGUACUGUAUUUAAGUUGUAAUGAACUUGAUUUCAGCCAAACAUUCAAUUAAUGUUACUAGUACAAUGUGAAUUAUAAUUACAGUCUUCAUGGGCAUAGUAAGAACCAAAUUUUACCUUAGUUGCUAGCACAUUGCUCUGAUUUCUGUGGGAGUUACACACACGUGCAUUCAGUGACAGAAUUUGGCCCCUAUAUCUUUCAUUUCUAUUCUAAAUUUUGAGGUUUCUCAAAUAGGUGUGUUUAUAUUUAAGGACAGAGUCUCAUCUUGAUGUGAAACAUUUUACAUGGAUCUUGCAUCAAUUGUAAUUGUUAUCCAGAAAUCCUUCCAUAAAUGGGGUUCCAAAUGGACUCAUGCAAUAGCAUGCUCUCAAAUUGUGCUAUUAUCUAAAAAUCUGAACCCAAUAUUUUCAAACCUGGCUGCUUAAACCUAGAGUAAAACCAACCUGCUGUUCUGAGGGGCUAAGCACUUGCUGCCCAGAUUGACCUCAGUAGGAACUACAAAUGGCCACCAUCCCUGAAAAUCUGUCAUCUUAUCUGGGUAUCUAAUUUUAGGCACUCAGAUUUGAAAAUAUUGGCCUACCUUUCUGGGGCUUGAUUCUGCCACCUUUACUCAUGAGAGAGAGAGAGAGAAUGAAUUCUUAAAGUAGUCUUGAGGAAAAGCAGUCUCAUGUAUCCUGGUUUUCCCUUCAGCAAUAGCUUCUUUCCAAAUCUUUCCUUGGGCUCCUCACUCUGGAUAAGUGAGCCCCUGUUGUGGUUCUCCAUGAUUCAUAGACUAUGAGUAUCCAUGAACUCCAAACACCAAGGCCCAAACAUGACUUCAAGUGCUUUGACUCAAGCUGAGCUCAAACCCAAUUGCCCGUCAUGGAUUUCUAACUACCCGCUGCGGCACUCUAGCAUUUCUCAUCUUAUCAGAAGCGUUCCAGGACCAGGACCACCCUGUAAAAGAUGUUCAGAACUUCCUCCUGCAGUUACCUUAGAAACCCCAAUGUCAUCAGAUAGAAUGUUCCUGAGUGACAGUUCUUAAGUCUGUAACUAGUGCCUUUCUUCCUACAUAACUUAACGCACCACUGAAUAGCAGCCAGCUCUGUCUGAACGUGGCAAUGCACAACAAGACAACAUUGCAGUUUAGAAUAGAACGUUCAACUGUGUCCUGUUGAAACUGCAAGGCAUCUUUCAGCAGGUAGAAUGUAAUUUCCUGUGUUGGAAUUUUGACAGGCCAUGGGUACUAACAUAUAUUUAUAUGCGUGAGCCUAUUCCCUACUUAGGCACUGACACAAAACCCAUUACGUUCAAUGGAAAGACUCUUACUGGCUUCAGUGGGCUUUGGAUCAUGUCUUUAAUGACCAUUGGCCAAAUUCUAAAGACCUUUCCUAGCCUGAGGAAGGACUGAUUCAAAAGUGAGGAAGGACUUCAGGAUCUGGGCCCAUAAAAGAGAAAAAGUUAUCUAGGCACCACUAAGGGGCAUAUCAAAAGUGGUGAGACCCACUCUUGGUGAUAUAAAGUGACUAAUGAACAUUCUAUGAAGCAUGUCAAUUAACUGAGAACAUUUGUUAUAAGACAGGAACCUUUUUAUCCCGUAUGGUAAAUAUAAGCAGAUAUUUUCUUGGGCAGUUAGGUGUAAUUUUGAGGUGGCAUUUAUUUG
Molecule: non-coding RNA, 2760 nt
Organism: Chrysemys picta bellii (western painted turtle)
Lineage: Eukaryota; Metazoa; Chordata; Testudines; Emydidae
Source: RefSeq, a predicted model, not a curated record